Molecule: long non-coding RNA, 978 nt
Filed under: Manacus vitellinus (golden-collared manakin)
Lineage: Eukaryota; Metazoa; Chordata; Aves; Passeriformes; Pipridae
Description: lncRNA (ENSMVIG00005017380.1)
Source: RNAcentral
CAACCUCAGGUAUUUUGCGAUUCUGUAAUUUAAUGUGCCCAGCACAGUUAGACUGGGUGUUAAACUUACAUCGGUGAAAAAUUUCAUAGGAAUGUACAAUCACAGAAUGGUUUGAGUUGAAAGAGACCAUAAAAAUCACCUCAUUCCAAACCCUUGCCAUGGGCAGGGACACCUUUCACUAGACCAGGUUGCUCAGAGCUGCAUCCAACCUGGCCUUGAACACUUCCAGUGAUCAACUGCUUUCUUAGGAAUAUAUUGUAAGUACUCAAAAAAUGCUUUCUAAUUUCUCUUUCUAGGUGACCAGGAGGCUAGAGCUAAGGCUCACACCUUUGACUUUCCCAUCCCUUCAAAACAUGUUGAUAAAGCCAUAAAACGAAAGAAGAAAAAGUCCAAAGUCUGGCAUAAGGUCUGGAAAGUCAUUUCAAAAAUGCUUGAAGAAAAUGAAAGGUUCAGAAGUCGACUGUUGGCCUGCAGUCAGCUGGAUGGAGAAGGCUCUGGUGUGAACCAAACUUCACAGGAUGGGGCAUACCUGGACAGGGUAUGUAUACAGUCCAUUAACUGCCAAGCAAGCUUAAAUACUAAAAGAAAUAAAUUAAUAUUAAAAGAGAUGCAUUGAUCUUGUUUAAUGUUAUAAUAAUAAUUGCCAGUUAGAAAAUUAAGUAUUAUUGACAUUGAACUCAAUUUUUUUUCAAGAUUUCAAUGGUGUUUGGGGACUAGAACAGCUCCAUCCUCACAGGAAGGACUGUAUGCUUUGCCAAGGUGGGGAGGUGGAUUUUGUCCUAUUAUUGUGCUAAAUCCUAAAGUAAAAUCUGAGGAAUCUGAAUAUUCUUUAUUUGACACACUUUAAAUGGAGACUUUUUUUCUAUUGAAGGGAAUGCACCACUUCACUUUUGUCACUUUUUUCUCCAGGAGGAGUCCAUCUUUGGCUGGGUGUAGCAAGAAAAUAAAGGAAGAUUCAGUUGAAAAGGAAAUGUGAAA